CAAACUGGAGAUGGCGACCGGCGCACGGGUGAGUAACACGUAUCCAACCUGCCGAUAACUCGGGGAUAGCCUUUCGAAAGAAAGAUUAAUACCCGAUGGCAUAAUAGAACCGCAUGGUUUGAUUAUUAAAGAAUUUCGGUUAUCGAUGGGGAUGCGUUCCAUUAGGCAGUUGGUGGGGUAACGGCCCACCAAACCUUCGAUGGAUAGGGGUUCUGGGAGGAAGGUCCCCCACAUUGGAACUGAGACACGGUCCAA
Molecule: ribosomal RNA, 255 nt
Filed under: uncultured bacterium
Lineage: Bacteria
Description: partial 16S ribosomal RNA
Rfam family: Bacterial small subunit ribosomal RNA
Source: RNAcentral